GUUUUACUGGCUGUCAGACCAGGAAUAUGGGAUGCGUCGGGGUUCCAGCAGGAGCCCAUGAGUGUGCGGUUUGCCGGCUGCAGAGGCCUGUGUGAACGGGUUCCCAGUGCGAGAUGAGGGCCAGCAGCAGGAGGGGGCGGUGGGGGAAAGCCCGCUUUCGCCCCUGUGGGCUGGGCCGCCUCGCCACGCACCCUGCCUCCACGGCCCCGAGUUCCCCACCCACAGAACAGGGUGCCAGCACACUAGGCUGCAUCAGAAGGCCAGGUGGUCACUGCUAAACUCGCCUUGGAGAGAGGAAGCCUGGAUUAUCUGUCAGGUCCAGGGGGACGAUGCUCCAUUGGGCCCCCAGCUUCAUGGGGCUGCUACCUUGGUCUGGAGACCCUCCGUGUGUGAGGAGUUUGCACCCUUCAGAGUUUCAGCUGGAAAGUGGAUCUAUCGUCUUGGUGCUUCAGAGGAAACUUCUACAAUAUUCAGAUGGACGGGGCUCUCAGCCCCUCGACCACAAGGCUGUUCCAGCCUGAGCAGCUGCCAAGUCUGGCCCCACUCCAGAGGACCGAGUGCUUGCAUCUGUCCCACUUCCCUUGGCAUGAAGGCCCCUGGCUGUCAGGGUGGGGCAGAGCUCCAGAGCCAGCCUUGGUGCUGGGACCCGGCCGAGCGAGGAGCUGCGGUGCCCAGGCCACAUGGCGUUCCCUGGUGAGGAGACGAUGUGAUGGCCACCAACACCCUUGGAACCCGUGUCGGCCCCAGUGCGAGUCAAGUGGACCCCUGCUGUCCUCCCGAGAAGUGUGACCAUUUAGUCUGAGGGGAGGGACAGUGGCAUCCUGAACCCCCACAGUGGCUGAGAAGGCUUCCAGCUGCCCAGCUGCCCUCUCUGCCCAGGAGGAGACGCUAUGCCAAGGCCCAGCUGUGGGAGAGUCUGCGUUUCCCGUGCCAUCCACUUGGAAAGGGCCUUCGUGCAGUCAGG
This 964-nucleotide long non-coding RNA is filed under the name Equus caballus (horse). RNAcentral's name for it is "lncRNA (ENSECAG00000040621.3)". The record is from RNAcentral. Lineage: Eukaryota; Metazoa; Chordata; Mammalia; Perissodactyla; Equidae.